This is a non-coding RNA of Callorhinus ursinus (northern fur seal), 5084 nucleotides long. Lineage: Eukaryota; Metazoa; Chordata; Mammalia; Carnivora; Otariidae. The record is from RefSeq and is a predicted model, not a curated record.
CUGGGUGGCAAUUUCCUUGGAAUCAAAUCCUAAUGCCUGACAAUGUCUCUCUCCUAAACAGUUUUUAGCCUCUACGAAGAAAGACUCCAAAUAAUAGCGAUACUAUAUAAAUGAGAACAAUUCUGGACAAUGACACUGCUCAAUUUUAAGCAUUCUGUGAAUUUCCUAUUACAUCAGUUUCAUGAUUCAGCAUUUUCGAUUUCACUUAUUUACAGUAAUAUAUGGCGAGGUAACCCAAGCUUUCUGCAGGAUCCUGGAACAUAAGGUAGGCUGGACAGGAAGGGUGUCGCCUUCAGUUAAAUUUAUUAUUGUUUGGGAGAAUUCAAAGCAGAAGAAAGAAGGCCAUCAAAGGAACUGAGGAAUAUUCCCCCACCUUGUUCUGAGUGUUUAAAUUAUUCUGGUAUUUUAAGUGAGCUGGUUUUGAAAAAUAGGUUACUGCCAUUUAGUAGAUGACUGAAACCGAAGCCAAGAAGAGUGCAAAUGGUAAACUGACGUGCCUAAGCCAAGCGUGUUCUCUGAAAUGACAAUGUUCAAGACGCAGCUAAAGUCACCACUCUGGCGGUAAGCGUGUUACAAAGAACUCGAUUUCUUUCUGGCAUCCGCAACUUGGCUGGAGUGACCACGGAGGAGUUGAAGAGCGCUGGAAACGCGAGGGUUCGUCGCGGGUCACCUGAGGGCUGUGGCCCUGGGUCAGGCUCUUGGCUUCGAGUCACUCAGCACAAGGGGCAGAAGCAGCCUCAUCCUACAGAAGAAGGAACGGAGUCCUUUGAAAGACCCCAGGUCCACAGUCAUGAGGUGGCCAAGCCGGUUUGGUUUCAGGCAGCUUUGCUCAAGGACUCCAGCUUCCACCACUACACUCCCCUCCUCCUGUGACAACGGGUGGUGGAGAAGCAGCAGGUGUCCUGAGUCAAGCCUCUAGAUGACUCCAACCCUGUCGCCGUCCGACUAAAACUGCUUGAGACUCCCCAAGCAAGACCCGCCCACCUGAGUCCCGUCAAUUUGCUGAACCAUGAAAGGUAAAAAUAAAUUGUUGUUUUGAACCACUAAGUUUAGGGGUAGUUUUUUGACCACAAUGGGUAACUGAAACAGUGCCCUAGGCUAAUAUUACUUUUAUAACUGAACGGUAUUGUUAGCUUCAAGCUCCCUGGCAUUCAAAGCAGAAAGGGGAGCAAGAUGGAUUGUGUGCCCUUCUUAUUAUCUUGAGUGUUAUGAUUUACCUGAAUGGGUAGUUCAUCCGACUCAUCUCCUUUUGGUCAAAUCAGAAUGAAAAUUAAACUAUCUUCCUUACAUGAGAAUCUCUCCUGUCUUUACCAAAAUUACAGUUGUGCAAAUUCUAUAAUCUGCCUUGCUAGAACAAACCAAAUAUUACAGUUGUCACUAACGAGAAAGUGUUCUUGCAUCUGGCCCAAAUCUUUCAGACUGUAGCUCAAGCCCAUUUUCUCUUGUUUGGUUCUCAGCGCAUCUUCUGCCUCCUGCCUCAUUCCCAUCCCAAAUUAAGUCACAAACGGGCUCAGUGUCUCCGGGGUCCUAAGCAGCCAAAAUUAAUGAUUAAAAUAGAAAUGCUGAAAAUAGUUGAAACUGAAGCAGAUUGGAUGAUUUAUUCAAACCUUCAGGAAAAAUUACUAUUCAGCCCAGAAUUGGAAAUUAGACUUGUGGUUCCUAAGAAUGCAACACUUCCCUGGUGCUAACCCCCCAAAAGGGAAAGGAAAAAAAAAAAAACAUGUAAAAUACAUACAUGGCAGUCUGUCCUCUAGAACCCAUGCUCUGGGAGGUCAGGAACCAUAUCUGCCUUCUGAAUAGUGCAAUGCUUAAUGCCUUCCUGCUGCUUAUUAAAGCUUUUCUUCAUUAAGUGACCUUACAAGUCUAUGAUAAUAAAAAACAUACAGCUGACUAUAAAUCAGUGAUUUCCAUUCGCUCGAUUGUGACCUCAGUGAACAGGCAUUAUCUGCCUGCUGGUCCUGUCCUGGGAAGACUGGGUUAGCACAUGGGGUAUUUGAGGUCACCUCCCUUACUUGGAACCCAGGCAACCCUAGGAAGGUAGUGAAUUUCAUCCUUGAGUCCUUGACCUCAUUUUCUAUACUCUUCCCCUCAUUUGUCUUCACACCCCUAAACUGGACUUCCGAGUCCCCCUAGUGAACGGCUCUGUGGGUAGCCGAAAGGUUAGCAGAAAGGACCAGGCUCAAAUCCCAGCUGAAUUCCUUAUCCCACCUUUGCAUAAAUGCUUUCCAAUCCCCAAGACAUUUCACAUCCGUAUUUCAGUUCAUUGUCUCAACAAUUUCUGUAGAAUCCCGUGAAAUAAUCCUGUUAUGGGCGGAAUUGUGUUGUCUAAAAAGAUAUGUUGUGAGUCCUAACCCCUGGUGCCUGCAAACAUUUAUUUAGAAAUAGGGUCUUUGCAGAUGUAGUCAAGUGAAGAUGAGAUCAUGGGGAGGGCCUUGAUCCAAUAGGACCAGUGUCCUUACAAGAAGAUGGACAUUUGCUCAUAGACAUGCGCUGAGGGAUGACAAUGUGAAGACACAGAAGGAAGAAGGCCAUAUGAAGACAGGGGCAGGGAUUGGAGCUAUGUUACCAUAAGCCAAGGAGCACCUGGGGCUCCCAGAAGCUGGAAGAGGAAAGGAAGGAUCUUUGUCUAGUGGCUUCAGAGGGAGCACGGCUUUGCCAGUGCCUUGAUUUUGGACUUCUACCUUCCCGAACUGUGAAACAACAAAUUACUGUUCCAGUUUGGGGCAUGUCAUUUCAACAGCCCUGGAAAACUAAUAUACAGGUGUUGUCAUUUUCCCUAUACUUUUUAAUGCAAUGUCAUUAGGUACCUACUGCGUACCGGACUCUGAGCUGAGCUCUAGAACUCAGAUCCAAAGGUCCAGGUUGAUAUAAAGCAAAUCAAAGACCCUAGCCCUCUGAUGAGUUUCUAUGCUCAUUCUCUUAUGUCUCAGGCUCUCUCCCCCAACGUCCUCACGCCCAGAGACCAUCCCCGUCCAUCCCCACUGUCUGGUCUGUGCCCAUCCCUGAACUGUCUGAGAGGUAGGCAAUGCUGGGUCUGGAAGCAGCUUGGAGGGUCCGAUCCGGCCCCUUGGUGUUCCAGCUGCUCCUCCUGAGGGGCAGAGGGGUCAGGCUACCAGUAGAAAGGCAACACCGAACUCCAACACAUCUCCUCACUCCCUGACUCUGAUUAAUUCACGUUAUGAAUAAAUUCAACAAACAACAAAUGUUUGUUGAAUGAACACUAAAUUAUUAAUCACUGAUAACGAGAAUGUGUUCUACCUCCUGGGGGUAUUUGGAUGUGAAGCGAUGCCUGAACCCAGGGACUCGAAUUUCUGACCGUGGAAUGUGGGACGGAAGGUUGGGGCAGGCAAAGCUGGACAGGGAGAUUUGGGGGCAAGGGUAGGGUCUUCCGCUGACCUGGUAUCUCGGAUCCUUAGAGCAACUUCAGUCUCUGCUCAGGAUAGAACUGGCUACCUUGGAGAAUUCUGGAGGGGGCUGAGGAAGAAAUUGCUCUCCUCUGUACUUGGAGCGGUUGGUGAAGGGCUGUGACCAAUGCCCUCUUGGAUGAAGAAGGAAGCACUGGCCUCAUCAUAUGCAUGGACCACAACUGCUGUUUUAAACUCCAAUGCUGCUGAACAAUUCAGAAAUAGAUCCAUUAUAGGUCUGCUUUAGCCCCAGGGCUUUAACACAGGUCACUAGAAAAUCCAAGAUUGCACAGUAAUUCAAACUCUUAAGAGGGAAAGGAAAAAAAAAAUUCUCUUCAGCACUCCUGCCCCCAGAGCCCCUCCCUCCAGCGUAACAGGGAGCCCCUCUUCAUUUCUGGGGUGCUCUGGAAUAAAUAGCUCUUAUGUUGAACUUGAAAUCUAAUUUUUUCUCCAGCUAUUAAUUGAGAAGAGCAGCUCAUUUUACCUCUUAUGCUCUGAAGCAAGACUACAGUGUAAACAAACUGGGUCGGGUUUAGCAGGAUGGACGUGAACUGUUCCCCAAUUUCCCUUAAUCGCUGGUAAAAGAACGACUUGGAUUUGGACGUCAACAUUCAAUAAAGCAGUUAUGUCCCUCCCUCAAACGCGAUCUAAAUUAGUCCGCUGUUCCCUCAAAGAGAGUCCAACGAGCCUCCAAAUCGCGCUCUUCAAUCGCAACCUCCUUGUUUUUGUGCUAGCCCUUGAGAAGAGUCGGGAUGGUCGGAGGGAUUUGAUUUGAUUUAUAUUGAUUUCUAGAGUAUCAGGGAAUCUCUUGUUUCGCUUGAAACAGAUCAGGGAAAAGGGGUUAGUAAACAAGGGUUUUCUUGAUUACUGAUCACCACACCGUGCUCAGCAUUUUCAUGAGCCUGGCUUCUCAUUUUCACAGCGCGUUAGAAUCAUCGAAUUCUUAAUCUCGCCCUAGAGUUCGGAGGAGCUUAUGACGCCCGUUGAAGUUAAUGAAGGCUUUUACCUGUGGAUCUGGCGCUACAUCACUCUGAUUGACAGCGUGUCCACAAUAUGGUAGGCACUGAUAGAAUGGACAGGGGGGGAAAGAAUUAAACAGAAGGAAAUUAAGAAGAAGAAGAAGGAGAAGACGCUGGAAACGAGGAGGGGCGAGAAACCAAAGGAAAUUGGAACUUCAAAACACCUCGUUAGGAAAAUGGGGCAGUUAAGGAAGAACUCACCAAGUAAUCUGCUUAAACUUUAAUUAAUUAUUCAUUUAUAUAUAUUUAUGUGGCACACUUUCUCUAGGGAACCCAAUGUGCUUUGCAAACAUAUGAAAUAAUUAACUCUCUCAAAUCUGAGUGAAGUGGAGAGGGAACAAAAUUACUCCAGAAAAGGACCAGCGGAUUGCUGAGUGAUGAAUGUGUCUCACUUUGAAGAGGCAAUCCCAUGUGAUACCCACCAGUGACCACAUAACAAAAGACAUCUUCUGGGGGCUAAGAUCCUUAUGGUGAUCUGUCCUAGCACCUUCCAGAGUAAGCAGCGUUUGCUAAUCAGAUAAAUGAUGAUACAUAGAGGGACAAACAGGCAGACACAUAAAGUGAGGUGAAUUAUGUAGAAAUCCAGUAUAUUUUGAGGAAGGGUGUUAGCAGGAGAAAGUCAAAUGGAGUGCAUUUAAAAAAAAAAUACUGCCUUCAAGAU